AACGCGAAGAACCUUACCUGCCCUUGACAUCCGGAUGACCGGCAAGUAAUGUUGCCCUCUCUUCGGAGCAUCCGAGACAGGUGGUGCAUGGUUGUCGUCAGCUCGUGUCGUGAGAUGUUGGGUUAAGUCCCGCAACGAGCGCAACCCUUAUCUUCAGUAGCCAGCGGUUCGGCCGGGCACUCUGGAGAGACUGCCAGGGAUAACCUGGAGGAAGGUGGGGAUGACGUCAAAUCAUCAUGCCCCUUAUGGGCAGGGCUACACACGUGCUACAAUGGCGUAAACAAAGGGAGGCAGAGCCGCGAGGCCGAGCAAAUCUCAAAAAUAACGUCUCAGUUCGGAUUGUAGUCUGCAACUCGACUACAUGAAGCUGGAAUCGCUAGUAAUCGCGAAUCGGAAUGUCGCGGUGAAUACGUUCCCGGGUCUUGUACACACCG
RNAcentral lists this ribosomal RNA (434 nucleotides) under uncultured bacterium. Its description in RNAcentral is "bacterial SSU rRNA". It matches the Rfam family "Bacterial small subunit ribosomal RNA", at positions 958 to 1392 of the family's 1533-position model. The record is from RNAcentral.